GGACAACAUGCCGACAGAAAUGUAUAUACAUCAAAGCUUUACUACUAAAUACCAUACUCCGAAGUAUUGAAGGUCGGGAUAUUACAGUAUGGGAUCUUGUGUUAGCUCCGGAAUACCAGUCCAUCCAGUGGAUGGCGAUUUUUCCACAGCAUCAGUUUCGACUCGAAAUGUCAUCCUGUCAUCGCUGAGAAACAGCCCCGGGAAUCAGGCCCGGGAGCCUUGUAACAGUGGACGAAGUGCAGUUGAUCGAUAGUACAUCAUUGAAAAUGAAUGGUCUUAACAUAGGAACACGGCAGACACAAGGUUCUAGCACACGGCGGGAAGCUACAUGUAGUGCUAUAGAUCUUCACAAAAGCGAUCGAACCAGAGCCCGCGUGAGGCACAAGCGGUUCUAAGGCCAUUAAGGUAGCUUUGUCGGCGACGAGAGACUAGUCUUGAACUACAAAUGAUUUUACAGUAUAGUAUAAACAGAACCUUCAGUUGAGUGUGUUAUUAUCAGUAAUUAUCCCGCACGUGUCCUCGUUCGGCGACCGUGCUAGCUGAUCGAAUCUAGGCAGGAGUUUACUGCUAAAGUCAGGAAUAUAUAAAAGAACGGAUACCCUUGUGUAAAUACUAUGUAUGUUAUAAGUAAUGCUAUCAUCUAUUUAUAGCUAGAUCUUAAAAGCACAUAUCCGUAAAUACAUGAUUCUAUCAGUCAUCUACCGCAGAGAUUCCACGAGAUACUACGCAUGCGCAUAGCUGGUCAUUCUACGUUCGCGUUCCGCCAUUUUGUAGCGUGACUGGUCAAGCGAGGAAAAAAUCCAACAAAAUCAGCGUCAUCCGACGCGUUCAACGGAAAUACUUUCUGUUUCAUCGGAACACAUCCUAAAAGGAUGACGCCUCCAAUGAUGGGUGAGGUGCCAGUUUAGGAAACACCACAACAGGAGGAAGAUGGUCUGAAACAGAGAAAGGCCAGCACAUUAACUAUUUAGAACUAAAGGCGAUAGCAUUUGGACUAAUGGCCCUCUGUAAAGAAUCUAAUUCCACAAGUGCUACAGAAGUUGGAGUCCGACCAAGCACAAAUGAUCUUAAUAGUCCCAAACUGGUCAACACAGCCAUGGUACCCAUAGUUAUCUCGCCUUCUAGUUCAGAAACCUAUUCUCCUCCCAGAGAAGAAGAGCAAUGUCUACCUCCCAUUCGAUCAGGGGAAAUGUCAUCCACUGGGGAAAAGAUUGAGACUGAUUGCUUGUGCCUUAUCAGGAGAUCCCUACAAAGUAAAGGUUGGUUCGCACCCACUUGUACAACGAUUCAUCAAAGGCGUAUUUCAGGAGAGGCCCUCCUUACCUAGGUAUUCUACUACCUGGGACACGUCAACAGUUCUCACAUAUCUUUGGAACUUUACCCUUUGGAGGAACUCACCCUACAACAGUUGACUCACAAACUCGUCAUGCUAUGUGGAUUAGUGACGGGACAACGUUGUCAAUCGUUACAUUUAAUGAAUCUAACAAGCAUGUACCAAGGGUGUGACUCAUCAUAUGAAUUCUAUAUUGGGGACCUCGAUAAGCAAUCUGCUCCAGGAAAAGAACAACCUGUCCUUAAACUACCUCGAUUUACAUCAGAUCACGGGCUGUGUGUAGCUUCAGUGCUAGAUGAAUACAUCAAACGCACUGCAACACUUCGAGGGAACGAGUGUCAUAGGAAAGUUUUCAAAGAGUCUAUUUCAAGGUGGAUUAAAGUAGUGAUGAACACAGCAGGCAUAGACACCUCUAUAUUCAAGCCACACAGUGUACGUGCAGCAUCUACCAGCAAGGCCAAGAGUUGUGACAUUCCCAUGACUUAUAUCAUGAAAGCAGCCUGUUGGAGCUCAGACUGUACCUUUACCAGGUUUUAUCAUAAGCCUAUAACCGAAGCUGAGAGCUUUGGACAUGCUAUCCUUUCAAAUGUUAAGUGAUCAGCAACUGUUCUACAACAGUUCUGUACUUAUAGUAUGGCAUCGGUAAUGCCAAUCAACUGUUAUAUUAAUUUUCGUUUCCACCUAUGUUUAAGGUGACAUGUAACCACUUAUGUUAGUUGUUAUAGAGGUUACUAAAAAUACACUUGUGUUUUUAUUACUUGUG
Nematostella vectensis (starlet sea anemone) is the source of this 2096-nucleotide long non-coding RNA. RefSeq lists it as uncharacterized. Lineage: Eukaryota; Metazoa; Cnidaria; Anthozoa; Actiniaria; Edwardsiidae. The transcript has 2 exons. The record is from RefSeq and is a predicted model, not a curated record.